UACGAGGGGGGCUAGUGUUGUUCGGAAUCACUGGGCGUAAAGGGAGCGUAGGCGGGCGUUUAAGUUAGGUGUUUAAUCCCGGGGCCCAACCCCGGACCGGCACCUAAAACUGGACCGUCUUGAAUAGUGGAGAGGUCGGUGGAAUUGGAGGUGUAGCGGUGGAAUGCGUAGAGAUCUCCAAGAACACCCGUUGCGAAGGCGGCCGACUGGACACAUAUUGACGCUGAGGCUCGAAAGCGUGGGAGCAAACAGG
RNAcentral lists this ribosomal RNA (253 nucleotides) under uncultured bacterium. RNAcentral's name for it is "partial 16S ribosomal RNA". It matches the Rfam family "Bacterial small subunit ribosomal RNA", at positions 524 to 776 of the family's 1533-position model. The record is from RNAcentral.